This is an RNA transcript of Rhododendron vialii, 1327 nucleotides long. RefSeq lists it as uncharacterized. The record is from RefSeq and is a predicted model, not a curated record. The transcript has 3 exons. NCBI's taxonomy places the organism in Eukaryota, Viridiplantae, Streptophyta, Magnoliopsida, Ericales, Ericaceae.
CACCUGCAAUCUAUCAAUUUUUCUAAUUUAAUUGCUUUUGAUUAGCCGGAUUUGAAAAAGAGAGAGAGAGGGAUCUUCGAGCUAAGGAGGCUGAACUAAACAAGAAGGAAUACGUGCUCUUGAUGGAAAUCUUGGCUUUAUGAAUACACAAUCACUUAAAGGAAUACAGACCUACAUUGUUCCGUUGCCAAUUUGCCCAUCUUCCACACUUUUACUCCAAAUGGAUUGUUUAUUUUUCUCCUUUCACAAAGUUAAGGUGCUGGAGCUAAUAACUACAAGAAAAUAUUAUGGUCUCAUGAGUGUUCGAUUCAGAAGUGCAUAUCAAAUCUACAGAAAUGAAGUUUUCUUCAAUCUUGUUUUAAAAGUUAGUUUUGUAUAUUAGUUGUGUGCCUUAUUUAGCAUACAACAACCCUUACCAUAGAUUUAUUGAGCUAUGCAGGCUGUAAAACGGAGAGAAGAUGCAGCAGCAUGAGCUGGUAUUGUUCUUGAGGACAAAAAAUGGCCACCAUUUUUUCCCCAAAUCAUCCAAAAUGAUAUACCAGUUCAUCUAGCAAGAUUGGCUUAUGUUGCAUUUUCAACGUUGUUGGGGUCAGUCGUGCUAUCUUGAUGCAUGGUUCUCAAAACAUGGAGCACUCUACAAGCUUUUCAAUCUUAAAUUUUGCAGAAUUCAAUUGCCAACCGAAGUGGAAUUUUUAAUUUUAUUUUUUGGGUGCAAGACCAGCAUAUUACUGAAGGAAGUGGACAAAAUUAAUGGGGGUCACAUAUGCCUUAAGUUUCUUUUAGGUGCUGCACUUAUUAUAGUAUCAUCUGUGUCACUGUCCAUUAUCUAUUGUAUUCAGUCCAACCUCUACACUUACCAUAAUGUACAGGAAUAUUGCCUGUGUGUGCCCUUCCACCUGCUUCAACUUAUUGCCAAAUGAAUUACUUGGACAUCAUCACCUCUCCAUACUUUUCUCUCCAGAUCUAUGAGAUAUUCUGCUGUGUUAUUUUAUAAUGGCACAGUAAACCUUCUUGUGAUUAUGAGUUGGGUGUUUAAAAACUAACCAGAUUGUUGUAGUGUACAUGGAGUACUGCAUGAACUUGCUUUAUUAAGUCUGUGGUUGGUGCUUAUAUCGGAAGGUCUGAAACCAGAAAGCCACUAUUUGGAUUUUCUGCUUCUCCAACAUAUUGAAAUAAUUUGUUGAUGUUUCUGCUCAGUAGAUUCAAGAUAUUGUUCCAAGCCUUUGGGGUGUGGGAUUACAUUUUGUUGUAUGGAGUAUUAAAGUUUUUGGUCACUUGAUAUUUUUCUUUGUAGUAGUUUAUUCACGUAACAUGUGAUUUGAAUUGU